CCUACGGGAGGCAGCAGUGGGGAAUAUUGCACAAUGGGGGAAACCCUGAUGCAGCGACGCCGCGUGGAGGAAGAAGGUCUUCGGAUUGUAAACUCCUGUUGUUGAGGAAGAUAAUGGCGGUACUCAACAAGGAAGUGACGGCUAACUACGUGC
Molecule: ribosomal RNA, 153 nt
Filed under: uncultured bacterium
Lineage: Bacteria
Description: partial 16S ribosomal RNA
Rfam family: Bacterial small subunit ribosomal RNA
Source: RNAcentral